UACGGAGGGCGCUAGCGUUAUUCGGAAUUACUGGGCGUAAAGCGCACGUAGGCGGCUUUGUAAGUUAGAGGUGAAAGCCUGGAGCUCAACUCCAGAAUUGCCUUUAAGACUGCAUCGCUUGAAUCCAGGAGAGGUGAGUGGAAUUCCGAGUGUAGAGGUGAAAUUCGUAGAUAUUCGGAAGAACACCAGUGGCGAAGGCGGCUCACUGGACUGGUAUUGACGCUGAGGUGCGAAAGCGUGGGGAGCAAACAGG
Molecule: ribosomal RNA, 253 nt
Filed under: uncultured bacterium
Lineage: Bacteria
Description: partial 16S ribosomal RNA
Rfam family: Bacterial small subunit ribosomal RNA
Source: RNAcentral